AGCCAGUUCCAGAAAGCAGGGGAACGGUGGCCAAAAACAAUCUCGGAGAGCAACAGUGGUAUAGUCAGCACCUUAGGAGGUGAAUCUUGGUCCAAAGGCAAGCACAGCAGGUGACUUCAUGUUCCUUGGAGGGUCCAUUCAGCUUUGGCAAGGGCACAGCUAAUAGACUCUCCGGUGUCAUGGGACGCCCUUGACCCAUUCCGUCAACACCAUUCUGUAGAGGAUUAUGGAAGACAGCCAGGAGACAGAUGUCACGUUUUACCCUUUGUUCAUGCAAUUUCCUUUGCCCUCUUUUAUCGUGAGUGCUGAUGACAAGAUGUGUUAUUGCGUGUUGAAUAACCAGGGCUGUAGCUACUUGGCGAGAUAAUGAAAAAUAAAACAAACAGCAGCUA
Molecule: non-coding RNA, 392 nt
Organism: Podarcis muralis (Common wall lizard)
Lineage: Eukaryota; Metazoa; Chordata; Lepidosauria; Squamata; Lacertidae
Source: RefSeq, a predicted model, not a curated record